CUAGCGUGUCCUCCGUCCGGAAAUACUUGUUAUCAAAAUGAAUAAAAUAAAAUGUAUCUAGACGUAUUUUAAUUUUAAAUACAUUCAUUUAUUCAUUUUGAUGACAAGUAUUUCCGGACGGAGGAAGUAUGUU
This is a non-coding RNA of Triticum aestivum (bread wheat), 133 nucleotides long. Lineage: Eukaryota; Viridiplantae; Streptophyta; Magnoliopsida; Poales; Poaceae. The record is from Rfam.